AAUAAAUAGUUGAAUCAGUACAAUAUUAGACAUACCUCUAGUAGCAUGCUCUGGCCAUUAUUCCAUGGCGGAAAUGCAGUCAAUUAUUGACCAACCACUGCUCCGAUGAUGGCUUACAUAAAGCCAAAACGUUGGUCCAAGAAAAACGGUAUUUUUUUCAAAAGAUUUUGGUAGGCUGUAAGCAUUUUUGCGUGACAUAAAGUCUAGUAGCAAACCAAUUUUGCGAUGAUACAAAAGAUAAUGAGCAGCUAAGUAUGUGUUUUUCACUCACAUUUCCUCAGGCCUAUGUUAGUUAUUAACAAUUUAUUGCAAAAAACGCGAUUUUUUAGAUUUUUUCUUUAUAACUUUGAAACCAGCAGUCGGAAUGACCCGACGAGAUGAUUUGUACGAAUAAAAAUAUCUACAAAAUAAGAGGUCAAAUGCCGCAAUCGGAUAAUUAUGUUAUAUAAUUAUGUUGUAUAACUGAGAAAUUGAGGAAAACCCGGAAAAUUGGGCGUUCUGACGAAAAUUCAUAGCUCCGUCGUUGUCUGAGCCGGAAGGCUGAAAUUUUCAGCCAAACUAGGCAUUAUAAUGUUCUUUAUUUGUGCCAAGGUGGGGCAAGUAUUUAGUUUUGUAAAAAUUGCAGUUAAAAAUUUGCUGUUCAUCAUUUUCAACUUGUUACCCACGCUGUUGCUAACAGAUUUUGCAAGCAACAAUAUUGUUCUUGAGCCUUUUGGUUUGUAAGUAUUGCCAUUGAUUAGCUUAAAUUCGUGAAUACUAAAUAGCUCGAGUUUACUGGAUUAGAGGCGGCCUGAACAUAUUCCCAAUGAUAUCAGCUGCUGCUCGAAAAGAACUUUAUAGGCGCAGAUUUGCGUUUAUGCCUUCAAGUCGAAAAGAUCGCCAUAAUCCAUAUUACUUGGGGCUAUAUUCCAUUCCGUCAAGAUUUUAAUGCUGGUCAUCGUUUUGUUGUUCUAACUUUAGCAUAGUACGAUUUAAUUAUUCAUAAUCUGUGGGAUUUUAUAUAAGCAGUUUCUUUGAAUUCGUUAGUUUUAUAUUGAGUUAUUUCUUAAUGUUGAAGCCGAUAAUAUGCUAAUGCAAGUUAAAUAGUAUCAAUUUUCUGCAGACGGAAAAUUCCUAGUUAGUAAUCAUGCUGCUUCUAAAUUCAGCUAUUGUGAUUGUGAAAUUAGGAGCAACAUGUGUAGUUGCUAAUCUCAUUUUUGUUAAUACAUACCUUUGCAAUACCUGGCUA
Molecule: long non-coding RNA, 1228 nt
Organism: Dendroctonus ponderosae (mountain pine beetle)
Lineage: Eukaryota; Metazoa; Arthropoda; Insecta; Coleoptera; Curculionidae
Exons: 2
Source: RefSeq, a predicted model, not a curated record